Molecule: ribosomal RNA, 253 nt
Filed under: uncultured bacterium
Lineage: Bacteria
Description: partial 16S ribosomal RNA
Rfam family: Bacterial small subunit ribosomal RNA
Source: RNAcentral
UACGGAGGGUGCAAGCAUUAAUCGGAUUUAUUGGGCGUAAAGGGCGCGUAGGCGGGAAGAUUAGUCAGAUGUGAAAUCCUGGGGCUCAACCUCAGAACUGCAUUUGAAACUGUUUUCCUAGAGGAUAGGAGGAGAAAACGGAAUUCCACAAGUAGCGGUGAAAUGCGUAGAUAUGUGGAAGAACACCGGUGGCGAAGGCGGUUUUCUAUCUUAUUCCUGACGCUAAGGCGCGAAAGCAAGGGGAUCAAACAGG